RNAcentral lists this unclassified non-coding RNA (378 nucleotides) under plant metagenome. Its description in RNAcentral is "partial contains 5.8S ribosomal RNA, internal transcribed spacer 2, and large subunit ribosomal RNA". The stretch from base 1 to 105 matches the Rfam family "5.8S ribosomal RNA", at positions 50 to 154 of the family's 154-position model. The record is from RNAcentral.
GAAAUGCGAUAAGUAAUGUGAAUUGCAGAAUUCAGUGAAUCAUCGAAUCUUUUAACGCAACUUGCGCUCCUUGGUAUUCCUUGGAGCAUGCCUGUUUGAGUAUCAUGAAAUCUUCAAAGUAAAUCUUUUGUUAACUCAAUUGGUUUCUACUUUGGUAUUGGAGGUCUUUGCAGCUUCACACCUGCUCCUCUUUGUUCAUUAGCUGGAUCUCAGUGUUAUGCUUGGUUCCACUCGGCGUGAUAAGUUAUCUAUCGCUGAGGACACUGUAAAAGGUGGCCAAGGUAAAUGCAGAUGAACCGCUUCUAAUAGUCCAUUGACUUGGACAAUACUUUUAUGAUCUGAUCUCAAAUCAGGUAGGACUACCCGCUGAACUUAAGC